GUCUAUGGCCAUACCACCAUGAAUGCACCCAAUCUAGUCUGCUCUUGGAAGCUAAGGAGAGUUGGGCCUGGUUAGUACUUGGAAGGGAUAAAUGUGCCUGUAUUAAAGGCU
RNAcentral lists this ribosomal RNA (111 nucleotides) under Nannospalax galili (Upper Galilee mountains blind mole rat). The record is from RNAcentral. Lineage: Eukaryota; Metazoa; Chordata; Mammalia; Rodentia; Spalacidae.